This is a long non-coding RNA of Corvus hawaiiensis (hawaiian crow), 1822 nucleotides long. RefSeq lists it as uncharacterized. NCBI's taxonomy places the organism in Eukaryota, Metazoa, Chordata, Aves, Passeriformes, Corvidae. The record is from RefSeq and is a predicted model, not a curated record. The transcript is spliced from 2 exons.
CAGAAAUUCAGUCAUUCUUUGUUUGUGGGAACUGCCCUGGAGAAGGAAGUGAGUGCAAAAGCCCCACAAGCCCUACAAAAGCAGAUGCAGACAGGCUGCAGAGCAGGGAUUGCUGGAUGCAGAGUGGGAGUUCUUUGUUCUUCUGGUGCAUUGAAGCAGUUGCCAUUAGGAUUUUAUUUCGUGAUGCAGUCUCCUGAAUUUCUUCUUGUCGGAGUGCCCUUUGUGGGGAGGGGGCAUCACUUGUGGAAGAAUUCUCAAGUAUCUUGGUUUAGAUAAAAUACAGUAACUAAAGUAUUUUUUAUAAUUUUUAUGGAAAAAGUAGUGUGUAGACUUCCUUUGGAAUAAACUGUACUUCUUUAAAUGUUUGCAAAUCCCUGUGUUGUGUGUGUGUGUCUGUGAGCACUCCUGUGUUUUACAGAACACACUGCAGACUGUAAAUAAAACUACCAGAAAGGUGUUGAAGUCUUGUGGACUGAAUGUACCAUUUAAUGGGAAAGUGAAUAAAUUAUUAACCAGCAGUUGCUAAGUGGAUGCUUCCUGCAAAUAUCUGAAAUCUUUGUGGUGUUUGUGUGCAGGUUUCAGCUGGAGUUGCCCUGGCAUUGCCUCCCAGAGGGGCAGGAUUGCUCCCCAGGAAGUUCUCCAGCCAGAAGUCCCUCUGGAUCCGGAUUAUUUUUUAAAAAAAGUGCUGGAAUUGCCUGUCUGGACGUGUGCUGAGCUCUCGCUGCUGUGGACUGUGCAGCCUCAGUUGCUGCAGGUUCCUGUUCUUCUCACCAGCUCAAAGUACACGUGGGGUUUUUUUGCCCUUCUAUAUAGAGCUGUUGAGUUUGGGUGAUUUUCCUGAAUUGAGGAUAUUGAAGGUCGAGAAGGAAGAUUUGUCUCUUUUUGUGCUUUUCUGUUGUUUUUAGCACCUGCUCAGCAUCUGAACGUGGUUGGAAUACUGGAAACAUAAAAGAAACAUAAAAGGUUUUGGAUUCAGUGCUUAUUUGUGCAAACCCAGUUUUUUUAUCUUUUUUUUUUUUUUUUUUUUUUUUUUUUGAAAGGUCUCCACUGUUCCUCGUAGUUUUAUGUAGAAAAGGUCAUAUGAACAGCAGGGAGCAGUGAGCACUUGGAAGGGGGGGUGCAGGUAGUUCCUUCAGGGUGGGGGAGUGAAUGUGGCCUAGGAACAGCUCUCUGGUCAAGUGAGCAGCAGAGGAACUGAAGGAUGCUCUUCCCCAGCAGAGCUGCUGCUUUGUGCUCUGGGGCAGCGCUGCCGGUGCUGGGCUUCCUCGGGGAAAACAGCUCCUUUGGGAUGUGCUUUGCUGCGAAGGUUUCCCUGAGCUGGGUGUCUGCAAGAGGCAUCGGGAUACCAGUGUCAGGAGUUUUCCAUGGUUUCCAGGCUGUUGUACACAGCACGUUCCAGGCAAUUUGCCAGCGUGAGGCAGCGCAAAAUCGGUGCAAUUGGACUCUGCAAAUGCAGUUCAGGCAGAUGUUGAUCUUUUAACUUUUCCAUUGUAGGUGCGAAUUCUGGGGCAUUUGUGAGUCUGCCUUGACUUGCAGGGAUUGAAGGGUUUAGGUGUGGAGUUGUUUGGCCAGCUUGCUCCAAGGCAUGGUGUACUUCUGGAAGUGCCACACACCUCGCAGGACCGAGGGGCUGCUGGCUGGGUGCUGGUUCUGCUCUGCCCUGGGAACUGGGAGCCCCUGGGAGGGCUGGGGGUGACACCUGGAGAUGGGCUGGGGAAGCCUGGAAUUGUAUCUCAGCACUUUUCUAUGCAGCUCUAUGGACCGGUGUGUGCUGAAUGAAGCGGCUCUUCAGCACAAUAAAUUCAGCAGUUUGGAAAAACCA